Molecule: ribosomal RNA, 542 nt
Filed under: Salmonella enterica
Lineage: Bacteria; Pseudomonadati; Pseudomonadota; Gammaproteobacteria; Enterobacterales; Enterobacteriaceae
Also listed under: 2 other names
Description: bacterial SSU rRNA
Rfam family: Bacterial small subunit ribosomal RNA
Source: RNAcentral
GUAAUGUCUGGGAAACUGCCUGAUGGAGGGGGAUAACUACUGGAAACGGUGGCUAAUACCGCAUAACGUCGCAAGACCAAAGAGGGGGACCUUCGGGCCUCUUGCCAUCAGAUGUGCCCAGAUGGGAUUAGCUUGUUGGUGAGGUAACGGCUCACCAAGGCGACGAUCCCUAGCUGGUCUGAGAGGAUGACCAGCCACACUGGAACUGAGACACGGUCCAGACUCCUACGGGAGGCAGCAGUGGGGAAUAUUGCACAAUGGGCGCAAGCCUGAUGCAGCCAUGCCGCGUGUAUGAAGAAGGCCUUCGGGUUGUAAAGUACUUUCAGCGGGGAGGAAGGUGUUGUGGUUAAUAACCGCAGCAAUUGACGUUACCCGCAGAAGAAGCACCGGCUAACUCCGUGCCAGCAGCCGCGGUAAUACGGAGGGUGCAAGCGUUAAUCGGAAUUACUGGGCGUAAAGCGCACGCAGGCGGUCUGUCAAGUCGGAUGUGAAAUCCCCGGGCUCAACCUGGGAACUGCAUUCGAAACUGGCAGGCUUGAGUC